ACAAAUACCACCCGCCAGGGAAUUACGAACAUUAGUUUAAAACCCAAAGGACUUGGCGGUGCUUCAAACCCACCUAGAGGAGCCUGUCCUAUAACCGAUAAUCCCCGUUUAACCUCACCACUCCUUGCCAACCCAGUUUAUAUACCACCGUCGCCAGCUUACCCCAUGAGGGCAUAACAGUAAGCUAAAUGGGCCCCCACCCAGCACGUCAGGUCGAGGUGUAGCGAACGAAGUGGGAAGAGAUGGGCUACAUUUUCUGAAACAGAAUACUACGAAAGGUGCCAUGAAAUAAAACACAAUUGAAGGUGGAUUUAACAGAAAAAAGACAGUAGAGAACUCUUUUGAAAUUGGCUCUGAAGCGCGUACAUACCGCCCGUCACCCUCCUUUAGCCACAGACAAAAAAUCUAUAAAAACCCAAUUAGCAAAAAAGGA
Molecule: ribosomal RNA, 433 nt
Filed under: Xyrias sp. n. TA-2020
Lineage: Eukaryota; Metazoa; Chordata; Actinopteri; Anguilliformes; Ophichthidae
Description: partial small subunit ribosomal RNA
Rfam family: Bacterial small subunit ribosomal RNA
Source: RNAcentral